CCGACUUGCUAUUGGUUCCUCCAACCAUCACCUCGGAUGACCAGGAAGUUAGCCCUGCUCAUAUGAUCCCUGAGCACAUAAAAAGAGAUAUCCUGGAAGGUAAAGACGUCAACCUAGCUUGCCUGCUGAUUGCCUCCCAGGAUAUUGUGGAAAAUAGGACUUAUGCUUAUGAUGAUGUGUCUGUUGUUGUCAGAUCUAGAGACGCCCGCUUAAACAGGAAACUGACUAUCCCCGAGUUUGUACUGGCCUUUGGUAUUUACUGGGAUGUCAUCUGUGCGGUCUAUCCCAAUAGAAGAGAGGAGUUUGAUCUUUAUAUGCACAAGCUGAUAGACCUGGGCAAUAAAUAUGGUGGUUCAGCCUUUUAUGACUACCAUAGGUCUUUUUCUGCAAAAUUGUCUGGAGCGUUCUCCCAGUAUGGAACAAGAUCCUACUGGGGAAGGAUAGAUACCGUCAUAUUUUGCAGACACUUUGCAGGUCUGAG
Non-coding RNA from Pelobates cultripes (western spadefoot toad), 481 nucleotides. The record is from the annotation of a GenBank genome assembly. Lineage: Eukaryota; Metazoa; Chordata; Amphibia; Anura; Pelobatidae.